Molecule: ribosomal RNA, 515 nt
Filed under: uncultured bacterium
Lineage: Bacteria
Description: partial 16S ribosomal RNA
Rfam family: Bacterial small subunit ribosomal RNA
Source: RNAcentral
GAUGAACGCUGGCGGCGUGCCUAAUACAUGCAAGUCGAGCGAAUGGAUUAAGAGCUUGCUCUUAUGAAGUUAGCGGCGGACGGGUGAGUAACACGUGGGUAACCUGCCCAUAAGACUGGGAUAACUCCGGGAAACCGGGGCUAAUACCGGAUAAUAUUUUGAACUGCAUGGUUCAAAAUUGAAAGGCGGCUUCGGCUGUCACUUAUGGAUGGACCCGCGUCGCAUUAGCUAGUUGGUGAGGUAACGGCUCACAAAGGCAACGAUGCGUAGCCGACCUGAGAGGGUGAUCGGCCACACUGGCACUGAGACACGGCCCAGACUCCUACGGGAGGCAGCAGUAGGGAAUCUUCCGCAAGGGACGAAAGUCUGACGGAGCAACGCCGCGUGAGUGAUGAAGGCUUUCGGGUCGUAAAACUCUGUUGUUAGGGAAGAACAAGUGCUAGUUGAAUAAGCUGGCACCUUGACGGUACCUAACCAGAAAGCCACGGCUAACUACGUGCCAGCCGCCGCAGUAA